RNAcentral lists this ribosomal RNA (233 nucleotides) under uncultured Candidatus Saccharibacteria bacterium. RNAcentral's name for it is "partial 16S ribosomal RNA". It matches the Rfam family "Bacterial small subunit ribosomal RNA", at positions 584 to 818 of the family's 1533-position model. The record is from RNAcentral. Lineage: Bacteria; Candidatus Saccharimonadota.
UAAGCGCCAUGUGAAAUCCAAACGGCUCAACCGUUGAACUGCAUGGCGAACUGGCACACUAGAGUAUAUGAGAGGUCGCUGGAAUUCCUGGUGUAGGAGUGAAAUCCGUAGAUAUCAGGAGGAACACCAAUGGCGAAGGCAGGCGACUGGCAUAUUACUGACACUGAGGCACGAAAGCGUGGGAGCGAACGGAUUAGAUACCCGGUAGUCCACGCCGUAAACGAUGGAUACUA